Molecule: long non-coding RNA, 942 nt
Filed under: Stylophora pistillata
Lineage: Eukaryota; Metazoa; Cnidaria; Anthozoa; Scleractinia; Pocilloporidae
Description: uncharacterized LOC111338092, transcript variant X2
Source: RNAcentral
GCGUGACGAAAUCCUUUACAACGAACCUCUGCGACACCUCGUGCGUUUGGCUACCUUUAUAACAGGUACCCGAAAGAUUCAUAAUAUUUUAGUACUUUGCCUGAUAUCGGAAUGGAAAAUCAGCAAGGACAAGCUUGACAAGAAUUUCACGAGGCGUCACUCAAAAGUGAAGUACGUAAUCAUCCCGCGUGUUUGACUGGAAAACUUACUGAUUCGUGACUUAAACAAAGUAUGUGAAUAAAACAAGCCGAAAAUGAUGACAUAGGACUUGAAGGCUCUACAACGCUUGCAGAUAACAAGUGAUGUCGUCAUUACUAGCUGCUUUGCACUCUAUUAUUGUUUUCGUUGUAUUUAAUCGUUAAUUAUAAUGAUAAUUUAUUUCUCUGCGACACCACCGCUAUUCGGUCUUUACACCGAAUCAUUUCUUCGUUAAUGACAUUUUUGCUCAAAUAUGCAUUAAUUGAACAAACGAAAUGGUAGACAUUUUCAGAGGAGCACUGUUUCAACUCUUUGGUAACUGAAGAUUGAAGCCCGGUUUCGUUUUAUCACCCAUUCUAAACCCUUCAGUUCAUCAGUUUUCUCGCCGUUUGUGAGGUACUGAACAAUUUCAUGAAUCGUUCCGAUCGCCCCUGUCUUCGAUACAAUUUCAUGAGCUGAAUCGGGACAGGCGUAAGAAUGCGACGAUCAACGGUCGCCGCGAUUGUUCUGGUCGUAAGUGGUCGUUUCAUCUGGUUCCCAUAUAAUCGUUAGUACGAUCGCCAAUGCAUUCUUUGGGGUGAUCUGCACGAUCAUGUGGAAAGUAAAGUUUGACUUAUUUGGUAUGGGAUCAAACAAGGCGUUACGUAUGACGAACUUCACGCUUGGACAUAAAGCGAAUAUAGCCCUAAUAAAUCUUUUUUUUAACAGAGGCGGAUCUAAAAAAAAAUAAAAAUGAACAAACGA